CGCGACGUAGUUGAUCAUGGCUCGAGGACACGGCUGGCGGCGUGCUUAACACAUGCAAGUCGAGCGAACAAAGGCUCCUUCGGGAGUGGAGUUAGUGGCGACGGGUGAGUAACGCGUGGGUAACCUGCCUCACACUGGGGGGAUAACAGUUAGAAAUGACUGCUAAUACCGCAUAAGCGCACAGCUUCGCAUGAAGCAGUGUGAAAAACUCCGGUGGUAUAGGAUGGACCCGCGUCUGAUUAGAUAGUUGGUGAGGUAACGGCUCACCAAGUCGACGAUCAGUAGCCGGCCUGAGAGGGUGACCGGCCACAUUGGGACUGAGACACGGCCCAAACUCCUACGGGAGGCAGCAGUAGGGAAUAUUGCACAAUGGAGGAAACUCUGAUGCAGCCAUGCCGCGUGUGUGAAGAAGGCCUUCGGGUUGUAAAGCACUUUCAGAGGGGAGGAGAAUGACGUUACCCUCAGAAGAAGCACCGGCUAACUCCGUG
Molecule: ribosomal RNA, 488 nt
Filed under: uncultured bacterium
Lineage: Bacteria
Description: bacterial SSU rRNA
Rfam family: Bacterial small subunit ribosomal RNA
Source: RNAcentral